Molecule: long non-coding RNA, 323 nt
Filed under: Olea europaea (common olive)
Lineage: Eukaryota; Viridiplantae; Streptophyta; Magnoliopsida; Lamiales; Oleaceae
Description: long non-coding RNA (OEUR_LNC015062)
Source: RNAcentral
UCGGUUCUGUACUGUAAUUAAAUUUUUUAAGAUUUAUAACAAUAUUAUAUAAAUACAACUAAUGAUACAUUCAAUGGUUUUGGAAUGUCAAAGACUAGGAAACUAUUUUGUUCAAAUGAUAACUACAAUCAAAGUUUCGAUUGGCGAAUGUCACAGUUUCGAUCGGAGGUCACAGUGUCGACCGAUAAUUGUAUAGGUUUUGGAAUAUUAGCGAGGCUGCGAGAGUGAGUGCGAGAGUCGAGACAACGUUAUGGACUUUGGUAUUGGUGUUUAGGGUUAUUUAGUGGAUUUGAUCUUGCUUGGCUAAGAAAUGAAACAAUAAA